This 74-nucleotide transfer RNA is filed under the name Anaerolineales bacterium. Its description in RNAcentral is "tRNA-Pro". It matches the Rfam family "tRNA". Rfam says of the family: Transfer RNA (tRNA) molecules are approximately 80 nucleotides in length. Their secondary structure includes four short double-helical elements and three loops (D, anti-codon, and T loops). Further hydrogen bonds mediate the characteristic L-shaped molecular structure. tRNAs have two regions of fundamental functional importance: the anti-codon, which is responsible for specific mRNA codon recognition, and the 3' end, to which the tRNAs corresponding amino acid is attached (by aminoacyl-tRNA synthetases). tRNAs cope with the degeneracy of the genetic code in two manners: having more than one tRNA (with a specific anti-codon) for a particular amino acid; and 'wobble' base-pairing, i.e. permitting non-standard base-pairing at the 3rd anti-codon position. The record is from RNAcentral. RNAcentral also lists the same sequence under 1 other name. Lineage: Bacteria; Bacillati; Chloroflexota; Anaerolineae; Anaerolineales.
CGGGGUGUAGCGCAGACAGGUAGCGCACCGCGUUUGGGACGCGGGGGUCGGCGGUUCAAGUCCGCCCACCCCGA